This is a long non-coding RNA of Lytechinus pictus (painted urchin), 104 nucleotides long. RefSeq lists it as uncharacterized. The transcript has 3 exons. The record is from RefSeq and is a predicted model, not a curated record. Lineage: Eukaryota; Metazoa; Echinodermata; Echinoidea; Temnopleuroida; Toxopneustidae.
GCUUCUGUCUUGAAGGCAGUUGUGUCAAGAACGAUCUAUCACCUGCAUUGUAGAUAUCUGUGACAAUGAAGAACUUUGAUAAGUAGAGCGUGUAUAUCAAACAU